GAUCCUGGCUCAGGAUGAACGCUGGCGGCGCGCCUAACACACGCAAGUCGAACGGCACCCCUCUCCGGAGGGAAGCGAGUGACGAACGGCUGAGUAACACGUGGAGAACCUGCCCCCUCCCCCGGGAUAGCCGCCCGAAAGGACGGGUAAUACCGGAUACCCCGGGGUGCCGCAUGGCACCCCGGCUAAAGCCCCGACGGGAGGGGAUGGCUCCGCGGCCCAUCAGGUAGACGGCGGGGUGACGGCCCACCGUGCCGACAACGGGUAGCCGGGUUGAGAGACCG
RNAcentral lists this ribosomal RNA (284 nucleotides) under uncultured bacterium. Its description in RNAcentral is "partial 16S ribosomal RNA". It matches the Rfam family "Bacterial small subunit ribosomal RNA", at positions 15 to 302 of the family's 1533-position model. The record is from RNAcentral.